GGAAAAAAGAACAACGGCUUUCAUUUUUCGGAAAAGGGUGAAAGCCUCCUAACUUUUGCAUGGAAACUGUGGUCCAAGAAUCAAGGAUUGGAGCUGAUGGACCCAUUAAUUGAGGGGUCAAGUGUUGCGUCCGAGGUGCUGAAAUGCAUUCACAUUGGAUUGUUGUGUGUGCAAGAAGAUCCAGCAGACAGACCCACUAUGUCAUCUGUUGUUGUUAUGUUGGCAAGUGAUCAUAUUACGCUUCCUCAACCCACACAACCUGCAUUUUCUGUAGGUCGAAUUGCGGCAAGAUUAGCUUCCUCAAAUCAGACAGUUUGCUCUGUUAAUCAAGUAACUCUUUCAAAUAUAUCCCCACGAUGAUGGUGUGAUUGUGAUGUAAUUCUAUAGAUGCUAUUAAAUUUUUAUCCGAG
RNAcentral lists this unclassified non-coding RNA (410 nucleotides) under Hevea brasiliensis (rubber tree). The record is from RNAcentral. Lineage: Eukaryota; Viridiplantae; Streptophyta; Magnoliopsida; Malpighiales; Euphorbiaceae.